UCUCGGUGGUCGUCGGAAGGUCUCUGGGACUUGGGUAGAACAGUUGGGGGCUCUUCCGGGAUCCCCUGAGGUUCCCUG
RNAcentral lists this microRNA precursor (78 nucleotides) under Dipodomys ordii (Ord's kangaroo rat). Its description in RNAcentral is "miRNA (ENSDORG00000027924.1)". Lineage: Eukaryota; Metazoa; Chordata; Mammalia; Rodentia; Heteromyidae. The record is from RNAcentral.